RNAcentral lists this ribosomal RNA (1797 nucleotides) under Candidatus Gottesmanbacteria bacterium RIFCSPHIGHO2_01_FULL_43_15. RNAcentral describes it as "bacterial SSU rRNA". It matches the Rfam family "Bacterial small subunit ribosomal RNA". The record is from RNAcentral. Lineage: Bacteria; Candidatus Gottesmaniibacteriota.
UUUUUUUUGAGAGUUUGAUCCUGGCUCAGGAUGAACGCUGGCGGUAUGCCUUAAGCAUGCAAGUCGAACGAUCUUGUCCUUUGGACAAGAAUUUUCAAAUUAUCCAAUAAUCCAAUAAAUACCAAUUAUCCAAUAAGAGCAAAAUUCUUAUUUGAUUAUUUGAGAAUUGGAUUAUUUGUUGAUUGGAAAUUCUCGCCCAGAGGGCGAGGUAGUGGCAGACGGGUGAGUAAUAGUAAGGAACGUACCCCAAGGUCAAGUAUAGCCUUCCGAAAGGAGGGGUAAUACUGGAUAGUUCCCGAUUUAAUCGGGUAAAGCACGUAACUGUGCGCCAUGGGAGCGGCCUUAUUCCUAUCAGCUUGUUGGUAGGGUAAAAGCCUACCAAGGCGAUGACGGGUAGGGGGCGUGAGAGCGUGACCCCCCACAAUGGCACUGAGACACGGGCCAUACACCUACGGGUGGCAGCAACUGGGAAUAGUUGUCAAUGGACGAAAGUCUGAACACGCGAUACCGCGUGAGGGAUGAAGUAUCUCGGUAUGUAAACCUCUUUUGCCAGAUCAUCGAGAUUUGGCGAAUAAGCACCUACAAACUACGUGCCAGCAGUCGCGGUAAUACGUAGGGUGCAAGCGUUAUCCGGAUUUACUGGGCGUAAAGUGUCGCGUAGGCGACUUCUUGUGUCACAUCUUAAAGAGUAAGGCUUAACCUUGCCGUUGGAUGUGAGACUAAGAAGAUUUGAAGAAGAGAGGAGUACCUGGAACUGACGGUGGAGUAGUGAAAUGCGUUGAUAUCGUCAGGAACACCAAAAGCGAAGGCAAGGUACCGGCUCUUUCUUGACGCUGAGGCACGAAAGCUAGGGGAGCGAAGCAGAUUAGAGACCUGCGUAGUCCUAGCCCUAAACGCAUGGAUGCUAGAUACCCCGUCGCAAAACCUAUGGGUUUUGCGACGAAAUCAAAAAUCAAAAUGUCCUGCAGAGCAGGAUCUGGCUUUGCCAGACAAAAUUCAAAAAUAUACAAGGUAUCCCUUCGGGACUAUUUAUAAAUUUGUCCUUGUUAAAUUUUGAUCUUUGACUUUUGAAUUUUAGAUUUCGCAAAAACGUAGUUUUUGCGAUGGGGUGUCGCAAGCUAACGCGUUAAGCAUCCCGCCUGGGGAGUACGAACGCAAGUUUAAAACUCAAAGGAAUUGACGGGGACCCGCACAACCAGUGGAGCAUGUGGUUCAAUUCGAGACGAAGCGAAAGACCUCACCAGGGUUCGACAUGUAACUGCAUGUCUAAGAAAUUAGGCAGCCUUCGAGGGUGUUACAAAGCUGCUGCAUGGCUGUCGUCAGCUCGUGCCGUGGGGUGUUGGCUUAAGUGCCAGAACGAGCGCAACCCCCAUCCAAUGUUAAAUUAUCAUUGGAGACCGCCCGCUUCUUUUUGAACUCACGAGUUCAAAAAGAGUUGCUUAGUUAUUAGUUAAUUAGUUACUUAGUAAUUUUCUAAGUAACUAAGCAUCUAAUCAACUAUGUAACUCAAAUUCGUAGAGUUUGAAAAGAAGCGGGAGGAAGGAGGGGACGACGUCAAGUCAGCACGGCGCUUAUGCCCUGGGCAACACACAUCCUACAAUGGCGAAAAACAACGAGAUGCAAGCUCGCGAGUGCAAGCCAAUCUCUGAAAUUUCGCCUCAGUUCAGAUUGCAGUCUGCAACUCGACUGCAUGAAGCCGGAAUUGGUAGUAAUCGCAGAUCAGCAUGGCUGCGGUGAAUACGUUCUCGGGUCUUGUACACACCGCCCGUCAAGUCAACAAAGUUGGAAGUAGCUGAA